Paenisporosarcina sp. HGH0030 is the source of this 109-nucleotide regulatory RNA element. It matches the Rfam family "SAM riboswitch aptamer (S box leader)". From Rfam's summary of the family: The SAM riboswitch is found upstream of a number of genes which code for proteins involved in methionine or cysteine biosynthesis in Gram-positive bacteria. The SAM riboswitch acts at the level of transcription termination control. The predicted structure consists of a complex stem-loop region followed by a single stem loop terminator region. The record is from Rfam. NCBI's taxonomy places the organism in Bacteria, Bacillati, Bacillota, Bacilli, Caryophanales, Caryophanaceae.
AAUUUAUCAAGAGAGACCGAGGGAUAGGCCCUAUGACGUCCGGCAACCCCCAGCACGAGCUGGGAAGGUGCCAAUUCCUACAGAAUGAUUUCAUUCUGAAAGAUAACCC